ACGAUAGACAACGGUGCUGGUUCGCCGUGCCCGUCAGGGGCGCGGCGUCGCAAGAGGGAACCCGGUGGGAAUCCGGGACUGCCCCGCAGCGGUGAGUGGGAACGACCGCCGUCAUCAAGCACUGGACCGCACGGUCUGGGAAGCGACGGCCAGUAGGCGACCGUACCGGUCACGCCCGCGAGUCCGAAGACCUGCCCGCACCGCGCACGCCAU
RNAcentral lists this non-coding RNA (213 nucleotides) under Micromonospora krabiensis. The record is from RNAcentral. Lineage: Bacteria; Bacillati; Actinomycetota; Actinomycetes; Micromonosporales; Micromonosporaceae.